CACUCCUACGGGAGGCAGCAGUGGGGAAUUUUGGACAAUGGGCGAAAGCCUGAUCCAGCAAUGCCGCGUGUGUGAAGAAGGCCUUCGGGUUGUAAAGCACUUUUGUCCGGAAAGAAAUCCUUGGCUCUAAUACAGUCGGGGGAUGACGGUACCGGAAGAAUAAGCACCGGCUAACUACGUGCCAGCAGCCGCGGUAAUACGUAGGGUGCGAGCGUUAAUCGGAAUUACUGGGCGUAAAGCGUGCGCAGGCGGUUUGCUAAGACCGAUGUGAAAUCCCCGGGCUCAACCUGGGAACUGCAUUGGUGACUGGCAGGCUAGAGUAUGGCAGAGGGGGGUAGAAUUCCACGUGUAGCAGUGAAAUGCGUAGAGAUGUGGAGGAAUACCGAUGGCGAAGGCAGCCCCCUGGGCCAAUACUGACGCUCAUGCACGAAAGCGUGGGGAGCAAACAGGAUUAGAAACCCCUGUAGUCCCA
Molecule: ribosomal RNA, 472 nt
Filed under: uncultured organism
Description: partial 16S ribosomal RNA
Rfam family: Bacterial small subunit ribosomal RNA
Source: RNAcentral